GUGGGCUAUUGGGUUUGGGCUAAGGGUUAGUUUUGUUUUAGGUUAUUGGGUUUGUUAAUUUUUGGGCUAUUAGAUUAUUGGGUUUUGGGUUGUCUGGGCCUGUUGUAAAUGGACUGAACCAUUAACUUUUAUUUUUGUUUUGUUGUUUUUUUUCUUUUUUAUUUAUUAUUUUGUGUUUGGUUUCUUUAGCGGGCUGGGCAAAUUUGGGCUUCUACAAUUAUGAAAGCUACUUAAUAAGUGGUCGUCUAAUGACAUUUUCAUAAGUGUGUUACCCUCAUAGGAUAUCAUUAGUCUCUUUGGG
Molecule: long non-coding RNA, 301 nt
Filed under: Gossypium raimondii (Peruvian cotton)
Lineage: Eukaryota; Viridiplantae; Streptophyta; Magnoliopsida; Malvales; Malvaceae
Description: long non-coding RNA (GRAI_LNC008186)
Source: RNAcentral